AAUUUUACAAUUAUAAUAAUAAAUGCAUUAGAUGGAUGCCUAGAAUUUAAAAAUUUUACGUAAACAAAUUUACGAUAUCUAUUUAGUAAAUAAUAUAUUGAUAUAUUUAUUUAUUUGAAAUUAAUAGAUUAAAAUUAUUAAUAACAAAGUGAAACAUCAUAGUAGUUAUUUUAAUAAACUCAAUUGAGAUUAGUAUAGUGGUGAGCAAAUACUAUUAGUUUUAAAUUAAUUAAAAAUUAAAUAUUUUGGAAUAAAUAAUCAAAGAAGGUGAUAAUCCUGUAAAUUU
This 286-nucleotide ribosomal RNA is filed under the name Tetrahymena pigmentosa. RNAcentral describes it as "large subunit ribosomal RNA". The record is from RNAcentral. Lineage: Eukaryota; Ciliophora; Oligohymenophorea; Hymenostomatida; Tetrahymenidae.